Molecule: small RNA, 120 nt
Filed under: Salmonella enterica
Lineage: Bacteria; Pseudomonadati; Pseudomonadota; Gammaproteobacteria; Enterobacterales; Enterobacteriaceae
Also listed under: 4 other names
Description: partial RtT sRNA
Rfam family: RtT RNA
About the family: This family represents a bacterial cis-regulatory element known as RtT RNA. The exact function of RtT is unknown although it is thought that it may be involved in changing the cellular response in relation to amino acid starvation.
Source: RNAcentral
AUAUCUCUCUGUACGGGAAGGAUGAGAAGCUUCUACCAGGGUUCGAUUCGAGCGCAGCGAGAAAGCGUUGCCGCAGGCAACGACCCGAAGGGCGAAGCGCGCAGCGCUGAGUCAUCCUUC